Malus domestica (apple) is the source of this 1416-nucleotide non-coding RNA. The record is from RefSeq and is a predicted model, not a curated record. Lineage: Eukaryota; Viridiplantae; Streptophyta; Magnoliopsida; Rosales; Rosaceae.
UUCCAUUGGAAAUUUCCCAAAUUUGGCUGCACUACCGGAAGGGAUCGCCAACCUCACAUCACUCCAAUCGCUUUCCAUUAGAGAUUUCCCAAAUUUGGCUGCACUACCGGAAGGGAUCGCCAACCUCACAUCACUCCAAUCGCUUUCCAUUGGAAAUUUCCCAAAUUGGGCAGCACUACCGGAAUGGAUCGCCAACCUCACAUCACUACAAUCGCUUUCCAUUAAUAAUUUCCCAAAUUGGGCAGCACUACCGGAAUGGAUCGCCAACCUCACAUCACUACAAUCGCUUUCCAUUAAUAAUUUCCCAAAUUUGGCAGCACUACCGGAAGAAAUAAGCAAUCUCACGUCAUUGCGGCGUCUUCACAUUACUCAUUGCUCUAAUUUGGCAUCACUGCCAGAAGGGAUUCGUGGAUUCCCCUGUUUAAAUGCAUUGUACAUUUCUGAAUGCCCCAUGUUACUCCAAAGAUACAAGAAAGAAACAGGUAAGGACUGGCACAAGGUUGCUCACAUCCCAUACCUUACUAUUGAUUAAGAUGACAUAUCAUGUGCAUCAAAGAUUUUAUCCACACUUCUGCUUUCUCAAUGAGCAACACCAGUUCCACAGCCAAGCGGGUGUUCAUCUAGCACUUUUUGUGAUAUAGUGUUGUGAAGAUUGUGACGGAGCAAAUACUGUUGUGGCCCAGGGCAGGUGCUAAACUUGAUAAUUGUGGAUAAUGGCCCGAAUACAACGGAUUUGGCUCACUAUUUGGUGCUCCCUGAUCUGAAGUUUUCAGGUUCUGUUGAAAUUUGCUUUCUUGAAACUAACUAUUGGGUGAUGCAUGGUUCUUAAAUUCUCCAGAAGAAUCGCUGGGAUUCGUCCUUGCAGAUGAAGGUUUCAAUGUAUGGGUAGGGAAUGCGCAUGGAACACGUUGGAGUCAUGAACACACAUCUUCAUCAGAAGAGAAUAAUGUUUAUGCUUUAUUGUAGGAUUUUUAGGAUUGGAGUUGGCAGGAAUUGGCUCUAUUUGAUCCAUCAGAAAUGGUGCGCUGCAUAUAUUUGACAACAAGCUCCAAAGUCUUUGUUGUUGGACAUUCACAGGGAACAAUCAUGUCCUUAACUGCUCUCAGCCAGCCAGAUAUAGCAGAACUAGUUGAAGUUGCCGCUCUUUUCUGUCCAAUAUCAUACUUGGAGCAUCACUUCUAAAUUUGCACCUAAAAUAGUCAACAUAUAUGUUGAUCAGUGAAUGGGACGUCAACCUUUUGGAUUCAAUAUGUGAUGGCCAUGUUGACUGCUUGGUGUGGUUGUAUAUGAUUUUGCUUUUGAUUGUCGGGGUUUAGGUACUAUGUCCCCCCCGUUGUAUGUUUUUUAUUCAAGUAAUAUAAUAUGGGCGUGAGGGCCUAGCCCCCCAGCUUCGACUGGGUUCCAGCCCUCGUUAAA